AGAACGAACGCUGGCGGCGUGGAUAAGACAUGCAAGUCGAACGCGAAUUAUGCUGCAGCAAUGCAGUGUGGUUCGAGUGGCGCAAGGGUGCGUAACACGUGGGUAAUUUGCCGUGAAGACGGGGAUAAUUCCGAGAAAUCGGGACUAAUACCGGAUGUGGAUCCUGGGAGGCAUCUCAAUGGGAUCUAAAGUUGGGGACCGCAAGGCCUGACGCUUUACGAUAAGCCCGCGGCCUAUCAGCUAGUUGGUGAGGUAACGGCUCACCAAGGCUAAGGACGGGUAGCUGGUCUGAGAGGACGACCAGCCACACUGGAACUGAGACACGGUCCAGACCACCGUACGGGUGCAGCAGUCGAGUAA
RNAcentral lists this ribosomal RNA (360 nucleotides) under uncultured soil bacterium. Its description in RNAcentral is "bacterial SSU rRNA". It matches the Rfam family "Bacterial small subunit ribosomal RNA", at positions 26 to 362 of the family's 1533-position model. The record is from RNAcentral.